GACGAACGCUGGCGGCGUGCCUAAUACAUGCAAGUAGAACGCACAGGUUAUACCCUAGCUUGCUACACCAUAUACUUUGAGUUGCGAACGGUUACGUAACACGUAGGUAACCUGCCUGGUAGCGUGGGCUCACUAUUGGAAACGUUAGCUAAUACCUCCUAAUAUUGAUUAUUGCUUGAUAAUUGAUUGAAAUUUGCAAUUGCACCGCUACCAGAUGGACCUGCGUUGUAUUAGCUAGUAGGUGAGGUAACGGCGCACCUAGGCGAGGAUACAUAGCCGACCGGAGUGGGAGGUCGGACAGUCAGAGAGGGAGACACGGCCCAGACUGCUACGGGAGGCAGCAGUAGGGAAGCGUUGGCAAUGGAUGAGAGUCUGACCGAGGCAGGCAGCGUGAGUGAAGAAGGUUUGCGGAUGGGAAAGCUACGUCGUACGCGAAGAAAGGGUGUGAGCGUGGAAAGUUCACACUGUGACGGUAGCUGAACAGAAAGGGACGGCUAACUACGUG
Molecule: ribosomal RNA, 505 nt
Filed under: uncultured bacterium
Lineage: Bacteria
Description: partial 16S ribosomal RNA
Rfam family: Bacterial small subunit ribosomal RNA
Source: RNAcentral